GACGAACGCUGGCGGCGUGCUUAACACAUGCAAGUCGAACGGAAAGGCCCUGCUUUUGUGGGGUGCUCGAGUGGCGAACGGGUGAGUAACAAGUGAGUAACCUGCCCUUGACUUUGGGAUAACUUCAGGAAACUGGGGCUAAUACCGGAUAGGAGCUCCUGCUGGAUGGUGGGGGUUGGAAAGUUUCGGCGGUUGGGGAUGGACUCGCGGCUUAUCAGCUUGUUGGUGGGGUAGUGGCUUACCAAGGCUUUGACGGGUAGCCGGCCUGAGAGGGUGACCGGCCACAUUGGGACUGAGAUACGGCCCAGACUCCUACGGGAGGCAGCAGUGGGGAAUAUUGCACAAUGGGCGGAAGCCUGAUGCAGCAACGCCGCGUGCGGGAUGACGGCCUUCGGGUUGUAAACCGCUUUCGCCUGUGACGAAGCGUGAGUGACGGUAAUGGGUAAAGAAGCACCGGCUAACUACGUG
RNAcentral lists this ribosomal RNA (468 nucleotides) under uncultured bacterium. RNAcentral describes it as "partial 16S ribosomal RNA". It matches the Rfam family "Bacterial small subunit ribosomal RNA", at positions 28 to 507 of the family's 1533-position model. The record is from RNAcentral.